Chelmon rostratus (copperband butterflyfish) is the source of this 2647-nucleotide long non-coding RNA. RefSeq lists it as uncharacterized. The record is from RefSeq and is a predicted model, not a curated record. Lineage: Eukaryota; Metazoa; Chordata; Actinopteri; Chaetodontiformes; Chaetodontidae. The transcript has 3 exons.
CAGAAGGUAAGAUAAGUGAGGAGUUUCUACAAUUUUCAUGAAUAUGUUUAAGUUUCACGUGAAGAGUUGAGUGUGAAGGCCAAAGAACGUGACAAAGACAAUGCUUGCUGAUUCUAGCACAUCUAUUGGGCAACAAAGGAAUCCCCAGAAUUUCCCUGUGUCAUCUGCACGGCCUGCCUGAGAAAGAAUUCAGAGAGGUCUGUGAGGUCCUGCUCCCUUCAUUGUUGAUUCAGCGGCACACCCCCCACCCAGGAGCCAUAAAUGGAGGCAGCCCUUUGUGCGAGGGGAGUGGAGCAGAUUUACUGUGGAUGGUCUCCCUACAAAGGACCACGGCGCUGUCACAACAGGACCAGGAUCAGCUGCACCCACUUUCACACAGUGUGAUUUAACGCCAUGCUUCACACAGUCACUGAUGCAGACACAGCCUCUGCAGUCGCUCAGCAUCCACGUAGCUCAACGGCAAAGCAUCGAGAGGCAUCUUCUAUGUUUUACUCACUUACUUCUGCUUACUUUUCAGGCUGCUGAAUUACGCCACUGUCAGUCUCAUCUUUCCAGUCUUGUAGGCCCAGAAAGCCAAUAUUUAUCCUUUUAUCUCUUAAUUUCCCUCACUAGCGAUGCUUUUGUUCUCAUAUUUUAGUCCAUGCUGUCACAGAUUUUUGUGUACAGUCAAAUAAGCAAUAAUCUAACCUAAGAUUUAGAAAAAUCAGCAUGAUAUGUAAUUAAUUUCACAGGCCUCUGUGUGCGGUAUAAAUGUCAUUAUCAGUGGGGUUGAACAUAGACUUCUGUCAAAGCAUCAAGAGCCAUCUGUUAUAACUUUACGCUGUUUCAUGUCUUGGCACACCAGCCAAAAAAAUGCCUACACCAACUGUGCAUUUUGAGCAUGUUUUCUUGCCUCUCCAAUAACACUGGGUUUGGUUCCCUCCACCAGCCUCUGUUAUGUUGACUUAAUUACUGUGAAACUCAAGGAGCUGUCCUUCUGUCUCACCAGGGUUUGAGUUUCAGAGCUUCCACAACUUGAUCAUUUCAGCAUGAGGGUGGCAAAUCAGUGAAAUCCAGCCUUUAACGCUUCUGCCACUGACAUGCAUCUCUACCAAGGAUGGCGUGAGUUGUCCAGAUUGCAACAAAGAUGUGAAAUCCUCACAGGACUCCUAAAUCGGCAUGAAAUGUAAUCAAUCUGACUUGCCUCUGUGUGCUGUAGAAAUGUCAUUAUCAAUAAGACUGGGCCUAAACUGAAGUAUUACAGAAGUCCUCCACUCAAAGUAACAACAUCCAUCUGUUUGCAUUGUAGUCAUCACUAUGGUUUUAAGCCUUGGCACACCACAAAGUUGCAUAUGCCAACUGUGCAUUUGGGGCACGCUUCCUUGUCUCUCUGAUUACUUCUGGGUUUGGUUUCCUCCACCAGUCUCUCCACCAGCCUUCAUUACUGUGAAACUCCAGACUGUAGCUAUUGACCGUAUGCUUGCAAGUACGACAUUGUUUAAACUUCCACUUAUAACUUUUGUACCAAUACAGUAUUUGUCUUAGCAAGAAAAAGUCAAUUUACAACACGCUGUUUAUGUGAAAAGCUUCAUUCAUUGUUGAUUUAUUGAAGCACACUCAGGGAAGAGGUUUCUCACAAACUCAUUAUAAUAUAUUAAAAUGUUUUAAUCAAAACUCUUCCCCUUUUGUUCAUUUGAUAAAGAGGUAGAGGGCUCUGGUUCUUUACCCACAAAUGAAACUCAAUAUCUUCGCCAGUGAUUUGACCAGGAGGCCACACAGACCUUUCUCGAGUCAGCGUUCAUUUUGCUGGUCCAAAAGUGCAGCUAAUCUGCGAAGAAAGGAAUUGUCACCUGCAGGGGUCCACCUGUUCGCCCUGCACCAUCUCUCCGGUUUCUCUGUUCCCACUGACCCGAGACAAUACAAGGCCAGGCAGCUUCACCUCCUCUCACAGCUCGUGUUACUCAACCACCCGGGGCAGAAGUGGACAUGAAAGUGCUGCUUGUGUGGCUGGGUGAAACCAGGUUCGGAUGAUAACAGAACUGCUGGCUCACAUCACUGAUGCUGUGCUGGUGGGUGGUAACCUCAAAAUACUUCAGCACCGGCUUCCAGGGACCAUGAAAAAAAGAUCCAUAAAGAGCGUUUCUGUAGCUGUUGGUGAAAGAAUUUCUUAAACCUGGAUGAUCAUAAUAUUUCCUAAAGUCACCUAAAUGACAAAGAUGAGCUUCUGACAUGAACUCAGUGUGUGGAUGUCCUCAGGUGACUGAAGAUCUCUCACAUGAUUAAAGAACACAGAACCACCCGAUCUUUUUUAUAUGCUGAUUACUUAUUUAUGCCAUAGCAGGUGUUACUGAUGAGAGCGUACAUUAAUAUUUAAUUCCACUGAUCUUGGAUGGAUGAUCAACCCCCAAACAACAAUAUACUGUUCAUGCUCACAUCAUUUUAAAGUUAUACAGCAAAUGAGGAUUUUUCUAACUGCAAUUCUGAUAGUGACUGAAAUUCCAACCCUUGCAAGGAGACGGCCUGCAGCAGCUCGUCUCCAUGUCUGGCUGAAUUUGGGAGGUCUAUUUGUCCAGCUGACUGUAACACUUGCUGUUUACCUGCUUCCACUCAACUAAAAUAGCAAAGCAACCUUUGCUCCUUCAUUUGUCUUUUUGUGUAUUACCUGUAA